Arachis stenosperma is the source of this 2112-nucleotide RNA transcript. It is a transcript of the gene named F-box protein SKIP23-like, with no coding region annotated. The transcript has 5 exons. NCBI's taxonomy places the organism in Eukaryota, Viridiplantae, Streptophyta, Magnoliopsida, Fabales, Fabaceae. The record is from RefSeq and is a predicted model, not a curated record.
CUUAGAAGAGAGUGGCAAUUUGCUAGAGUUAGAAAUGUUUAGUUUUUCUUCCUUUUUUUGGGCCUUAAGCCCCUUUGACUAUCAAAGAAAAUAUAAAAACUUGAAAGAAACCAACAGAAGAGGAGAGGAGGGAGGCAAGUCAUGUGAAGUCGCUGGCGUUGGAGGCGCCGAGACCGAUCCACGGAGAGAGCCAGAGUCAGACAGCUCGCUGCGGGAGGGAGUGGCGCUUCGAGUCUGCAGCCGUAGGGAGGCAAAGCAUCAUUCACCAAUGGAAGUCUUUGCUCAGGCGCUGGUAGGGGAGGGAAGUGCUGUUUGAAUCGCAGCCUGAAGCCGGGUCGGGUGGAGCUUCUGUGUUGGUUGGAUCUGGGCCAGGUUGUUGGCCCGUUGCCCUGAAAGAAAAAAAAAAGAAAGAAAGCUCGAAGUGUUUGAAGGCAAUGGUGGAUAUUUACGGUCUCAUCCUUGGCGUCAACCCUUUGAAGAUGAAGAAAUUGCAGCAGUCAUGGAGGCAGCGCAGGGAGUUGAAGUGGAAGCUCGAAAUAUGUUUGUUAUUGCCUUUUCUCCUUUUCCUUAUCUUUGGUUUCACACGGUAUCCUCCAGCCCGGCAGGCUAAGGAAUAAUCCGUCGCGGUACUGACAACGACAAAAAAAUAAAAAAGAAACCAACAGAAACAAGAAUUGCAUAAUCGUACGAUUUUGCGAGGAAAUGGUCGCAUUGGCCACACUGCAACCAGGGAAACAACAUGUACCUCUUUCCGGGCAUUGGUCUUGGAACACUCUUGUCUGGUUCUACAGACAUCUCUGAUGGUAUGCUACAGGCCAUAGUAGGUACCUUGCUACAGGCUGUUGGUGAGCGGAGUGUCAAAAAGGAAGGGUGAAAAACAAUACUCACACUUCAAUGGCUUCUCCUUCUCUCUCAGUUCCCUACGCUCUUCUUCCAAGAAUUCAACAAACACACCUCAUUGAUCGUCAUGAUGAUCCUAUAACUGUUGACCGAAGCAUCUUCAGUUUAUCACAAAACAAGCGUUAUGAAUGGAAGAACAUGUUGAAGGGUCAUGUUGGAGCAUGGUGUGUUGGUUCUUCUCAUGGUUGGAUUGUGCCUUUGGAUCAGAAUGGAGUUCCACUUCUUCUAAACCCUUCUUCUUUCACUACCAUUAAGCUACCACCUCUUCCCCUUUUAUUCUUGCACCCUGUCAUGUAUUCUUACUUUGCUGAAUACUUAAGGAAAACCUUUAUAGUCAAAGCAAUCUUGAUGUAUUGUUCCUCUCCUUCAAGCUACAUUCUUGCCAUCAUAUAUGGUUCCAACUACAAGAUUGCUUAUUGCAAUUCUGCAAUUUGGGUUGAGCUCUCUGAUGAUAAGCAAUCUUAUUGUGAGAUUGUGUUCAGCAACAACUAUCUUUAUGCCUUGACACAAGAUGGUUCUGUUGAAGUUUGGAAUAUUUGUGGGAAAAUUAAAGAUUGAUUCUUUUAACACCAACUGUGGAGGUGAAUUAUGAAGAGGAGAAACCAUAUUUAGGAGAUAGCUUCUCAAGAAAUUUGUACUUGGUGGUAUCUGCAGAAGAAAUCUUGCUGGUGAUAAGGUUUAUUGGGAAUUUUGUGAAUGAUGACGGGUUGGUAGUAGAAGAAGGAGAUCUUUUAUCAUCUGAGGAUACAUAACCAUUGAUUUGUCCUUAUAGAACAAAGUAUUUUACUGUUUAUAAACUUGAUAUUGGAGACAAGAAGUGGAAAAAAAAUGAGAUUUUUACAUGAUAAAGUUCUGUUCUUGGGUGCUAAUGAGUCUGUAUCAAUGGAUGUUAAAGUUUGCUUGGGGUGUGAAGCAAACUCAAUCUACUUCACAGAUGAUAGGUGGGAAGGGAUGACUUUGGACUACAUGUAUGGUGGACAUGAUUGGGGUGUUUUCAAUCUUGAAGAGAAAUGUGUUAAGAGCCUCAUGCAAUGUGCAAAUAGGAUUGAUCCUCCACCAAUUUGGGUAGUUCUAUAGUAAUUUAGGGUUUGCCAUUUAGAAUGAUAUGGUUCUUUUGUAAUUGAUUUUUUUUUUUUUUUUGUUUCUUCUCUAUUUGACAAUUCAAAAAAUCAUGUAAAGAACUUAAGAUUCACUGACUUUUUUUUAAGUGCA